Molecule: small RNA, 90 nt
Filed under: Flavobacterium terrae
Lineage: Bacteria; Pseudomonadati; Bacteroidota; Flavobacteriia; Flavobacteriales; Flavobacteriaceae
Description: Flavo-1 RNA
Rfam family: Flavo-1 RNA
Source: Rfam by way of RNAcentral
GUUUAGCCCUGAUAGCAGCGAUAUCCUUUUUGUGGUUGUUGAGGUUCUCGACAUAACCACAAAAAGAUAAAGCGUAUAGCAGGAAAUAGC